Triticum dicoccoides is the source of this 538-nucleotide long non-coding RNA. RefSeq lists it as uncharacterized. Lineage: Eukaryota; Viridiplantae; Streptophyta; Magnoliopsida; Poales; Poaceae. The record is from RefSeq and is a predicted model, not a curated record. The transcript has 3 exons.
CGUUCAUCGCCUGGCCAAGGACGAGGACGACGACGUGGGGUGGAGCAUGUCAUCCCUCUGGUUAUCACCUUUCUUUCUGCUACUGGGCUGAGAUGAGGGUUUUCUCCACCGAUUGUGGUGGCCUGAGUCAAAGAUCGACAGCCAGAUGCUUGUGGCUACCACACAAAACGUGCUCUCUUGCUGACCUCGAGGUCCAGACGCAAUGGAUUGUCUCCAAGUGUGGAUCAUUGGAGCUAUCAUGAAGAUAAGCAAGCUGCUGGCUUCAGCAACGUCACAUUUUUGUACUGAUUAGUGAACUGGCAAGAUAGAAAAGUAAUUCUUCUACAUCCAGAUGAAUGGGAUGGAUAGUAGUUCUGCUAUGCAGAAUGGUAGUGUUUCCUACACGAUCUUUUGUUUGUCAUGUAUGCCAUCACUGAGUAUUGUAGAGGCUGUAGUAAUCUUACACUUUAUAUGGAUGGUUUGCAAGUUAAAGGUCUGCAAAAUAAUGUGCUAAACUCUUAUUUGUGGGCCAUGUUAGUUUGCUUGGUUUAAGUUCAGA